This 971-nucleotide ribosomal RNA is filed under the name Chodsigoa parca (Lowe's shrew). RNAcentral describes it as "partial 16S ribosomal RNA". It matches the Rfam family "Bacterial large subunit ribosomal RNA", at positions 961 to 2578 of the family's 2925-position model. The record is from RNAcentral. RNAcentral also lists the same sequence under 1 other name. Lineage: Eukaryota; Metazoa; Chordata; Mammalia; Eulipotyphla; Soricidae.
UAAUUUCUAUGUAAAUUUAACUGUUAAUCUAAAGAGGUACAGCUCUUUAGAUCAAGGAUACAACCUUAAUUAGAGAGUAAGUCUGAAUAAUAACCAUAGUUGGCCUAAAAGCAGCCAUCAAUUAAGAAAGCGUUCAAGCUCAACAAAUAACUUCACUUAAUACAACACUUCAUAACCAUCUCCUAAUUAAAUACUGGACUAAUCUAUAAUAUUAUAGAAGCAAUACUGUUAAUAUGAGUAACAAGAUUUAAAUCUCCCCAGCGCAAACUUAUGUCAGAUCAAAUACUAACUGAUAAUUAACAGCCAAUCAAAUAAAACCUAAAAUUAAUUAUUUAUACCUCUUACUGUUAACCCGACACAGGAGCGCUACACAAGGAAAGAUUAAAAGAAGUAAAAGGAACUCGGCAAACACAAACCCCGCCUGUUUACCAAAAACAUCACCUCUAGCAUCUUAAGUAUUAGAGGCACUGCCUGCCCAGUGACAUUUGUUUAAACGGCCGCGGUAUCCUGACCGUGCAAAGGUAGCAUAAUCAUUUGUUCCUUAAAUAGGGACUUGUAUGAAUGGCCACACGAGGGUUUAACUGUCUCUUACUUCCAAUCAGUGAAAUUGACCUUCCCGUGAAGAGGCGGAAAUAAACUAAUAAGACGAGAAGACCCUAUGGAGCUUUAAUUUACUUUACCUAAAGAAUUUUAUCUAAACCACAAAUCAGUGGACUCAUAUUUAUUCUAAUUAGGUAAAAAAUUUUGGUUGGGGUGACCUCGGAGUACAAAAAAUCCUCCGAGAAUCUAAUACUAAGACCCACAAGUCAAAGUAAAAUAUAUUACUGAUCCAGUCUUACUGAUCAACGGAACAAGUUACCCUAGGGAUAACAGCGCAAUCCUAUUUGAGAGUCCAUAUCGACAAUAGGGUUUACGACCUCGAUGUUGGAUCAGGACAUCCUAAUGGUGCAGCCGCUAUUAAUGGUUCGUUU